RNAcentral lists this unclassified non-coding RNA (253 nucleotides) under uncultured cyanobacterium. RNAcentral describes it as "contains 16S-23S intergenic spacer region". It matches the Rfam family "Bacterial small subunit ribosomal RNA", at positions 524 to 776 of the family's 1533-position model. Lineage: Bacteria; Bacillati; Cyanobacteriota. The record is from RNAcentral.
UACGUAGGUGGCAAGCGUUGUCCGGAAUUAUUGGGCGUAAAGCGAACGUAGGCGGUUACUUAAGUUUGGUCUUAAGGACCGGGGCUCAACCCCGGGAAUGGACUGAAUACUGGGUGACUGGAGGAUGUCAGAGGAAAGUGGAAUUCCAAGUGUAGCGGUGAAAUGCGUAGAUAUUUGGAGGAACACCAGUGGCGAAAGCGACUUUCUGGGGCAUUCCUGACGCUGAGGUUCGAAAGCUCGGGGAGCAAACAGG